RNAcentral lists this ribosomal RNA (389 nucleotides) under uncultured bacterium. Its description in RNAcentral is "bacterial SSU rRNA". It matches the Rfam family "Bacterial small subunit ribosomal RNA", at positions 28 to 417 of the family's 1533-position model. The record is from RNAcentral.
GACGAACGCUGGCGGCGUGCUUAACACAUGCAAGUCGAGCGGUAAGGCCCUUUCGGGGGUACACGAGCGGCGAACGGGUGAGUAACACGUGGGUGACCUGCCCUCAGCUCUGGGAUAAGCCUGGGAAACUGGGUCUAAUACCGGAUAUGACUCCAUGACGCAUGUUGUGGGGUGGAAAGCCUUGUGCGGCUGAGGAUGGGCCCGCGGCCUAUCAGCUUGUUGGUGGGGUGANGGCCUACCAAGGCGACGACGGGUAGCCGGCCUGAGAGGGCGACCGGCCACACUGGGACUGAGACACGGCCCAGACUCCUACGGGAGGCAGCAGUGGGGAAGUCUUGCGCAAUGGGCGAAAGCCUGACGCAGCGACGCCGCGUGAGGGAUGACGGCCU